UUUUUUUUUUCGCGAAAAAUGUAAAAAUUUCAAUCGAUUGCAAGCCAGAAACUAUGUGACCCCGGCGUGAUGCUAGGAUUACCCUCGCAUAGAGAGAACUGCGCAGUUUUCCUCGCUGUGAGGAGAUUCGACCGAAUCUCUCUCUUUUUCGCACGCGACAUCGUGAAUAUGAUCCUGGCAGCGGACCAGGACUUCAUUUUAAGCAUCGACGGUCUCCGGCCACAUUCCACGCCAUAAUUCCGUAGCGGCUCCGCCACAAAGGGACGCGGCGUCUUCCUAUUCUGCUAUCAUGGUCAGGUAUUCUCUUGAAAGAAUUUUUUUUACAUUUUAUUUUGUCUCGAAAAUAGGCGUCCCCCUUGCACUUAUUCUUCUUAUAUGAAAAGACGAAUGACAGAAGUUAAACAUUUAAACUGCUCAAUUACUGCUCAUUAAAUUUGUGUAAAUACGUGAAUUAACUCUGGUUAUACAACUCUGAUUAUACAACAGUGAUAUCUGUGGAGAUAUUGAUAAAAAUUUGAACGUUUUUUUAUAUUAUCUUUCAGAAAAAAACAGAAUAUUAUACCUAGGUCGUCCAUAAAAACGUAAAAAGAGAAUUAAUUAAUUUUGAAGCAAUUGUUAAUGAAGACAUUUAAUUUGGAUUUUAAUUCGCGGAUUUAUAAAAUUUAUACAUGGUAUUUCGAAUGGGUUGAGCUUGAAUUAGAAUUUUGUUUUUAUGUUCAAAAAAGAAGAUUUAACGAUCUUGUCUUGUAAACUACCAACGUGAUAUUGAUAUAAAAAGUCAAAUGUCGAUCGUAUAAUGUUGGGAUAUUUCAUGUUUUUGACGUAGGUGCGAAUCUAUCGGACUCGUGAUGGCCGCCGUGAAUUAGAUGAUCGUGUAAACUCCGAUAGAAAUAGCUCCUGCUGUCCGGAAAUAGAGCGUAAUUUGCAGAAUCGAGAUGUUGAUUCUAUGUUGACGCGAAUCGAUAAGAUCGAUAAGUUGCCGCUGAUAUGAAGGAAAAUAAAACGCGAGACACGCAGACAGAAAGCCACGAAACCUUCACCUGCGAAACUGCUCCUUUCCGGUUUUGACGAGCUGAAAACAAGUAUGUGUCACCUUGUUAACGUGACAUUUUAUGAUAUGCAUGUUUCGUCUUCUCAUCACAGAACCCGAAAUAUCUGAUUCUCACCGAAUAUAGUGCAAGUAAUAAGAUGUGCACCCGUCUUAAAAUGUUGACAGUAAAAUUUUCACGGUUUCGCACAUUUCUCACAUUAUUCGGAGGUGCUUCAAACGAAAUCAUUUGUGCAAAAUACGAAAAAGCCGCCGAGAGAUUAUCAAGCAUUAUAUUAAAAUUUUAUAUAUGUCUUUAUUACUCUUUUUUUUUCAAAUAUUGUUAUUCAAUCAAAUAUUAUUGUUAUGUACAUUUUAUAGAUUACUUUUCGUACAUAUUUUAUAUACUUCGACAACAUUCGGAUCCUUCUUUUCAUAAAAACCUUCUUCGUAUUUUCACAUCUCUUGAGAAUACGCGUCCUCGAAACUCGUAACAUUCAAUAUAAAAAUGUUUGAUUCUAUAAAUAAAAAACACAGAUAUUCCAUUAAAGAGAAAUGAAACAUACAAAAUUGAAAAUCUCAAGAGGAUUAAAGAGGGAGCAGUUUUGAGCAAUUUUUGCUCGUUUCGAUUCGCUAUUGAAUGAUAGACGUGAGAUAAAUUACCUUACGGAAAGAGAAAAAAAGAAUGUAAGAGUACGUCUCAUAAAGAAAAAGAGCGUACAGUCGAUUUGCUGAUUCGCGAGGAAAUUAUCCGGAAAAGUAAUCUUUGAUAAGGCUACAUUUUUGGGAAUGUGCACAAAUAUUUUCAUUACACGAUCGUUAAUCGCAAGGUUAUCACGCGUAGUAUAUCACGGUGGCAUUAAUUCCAUCAUUCAGUACGCGUCUUGCAAUUUAUCGAACAGAAUGAUAACGUUUUUUAUGUCUCGCGGUCGUGGCCUAAUCAGUCGUCCAUGUCGAUAUUUCCGAAGAAAAAUAUAUUGUAACGUUAAAAUAGACUGCGAGUCUAGUCUAAAUGCGAGUCUAAUUAUAGUAACGCGAAUGAUCAUCAUUGUUAUUCAGCGGAUUUUUACAAAGUCUAUCAAUCGAUGGUAAUUUCGAUAACAAACAUCGUCUUGGGCAAAAUCUAUAAGUGAUAGACGAGAGUUAUCUUCUUCCGUCUCAAGCAGCAGUCCAAGAAUGACGUAAUGUUUCCUAAUAGACUUCAUCGGACUUCGAAAUCUGGCACAAGUGGCCGAAGGAAACAUUCGCUUGGAAAAAGCCAAUUUCGAUGCGAAACACACAUCUGGUAACAUAAAUAGUACAGCUGCUUUUCUCAAAAAGACAGAAAUCUAUGGCACAAAUUAGACAACAGAAUUCAUAAAUCUCGAUUUCGAAGCUACAUUCACGCAAAAAUAAACUGUAAAUCUAUUGUUAUGUAAUUAUGAUAUUAUUUUGGAAUAACCCUGCCCUAGAUUUAAUGUCGUAACGCAAAAUUUUUUAAAGUUAUACAAAUAAAAAAUUACAGAUUUUAUGUAUGGCUUUUUUACGCAAAUUGCUCGAUUUCGAGCAGCUAGAAUCGAAUAAUUUCGAGAAAAUCAAUGACUCUAUCUGCAACUACGGAAAUGGGGAACAGACCGAUUACGUUAAUCGCCUCAUAACUCGCCUCUAAACGCUCGUAAGUCCGCUCGUAAUUUUUUAUCACACUGGUAUAACUAUGUUGCGCGAUGAAGCGGAUUUUUCUCGAUCGUAAUUGUAAUUGGAAAA
RNAcentral lists this long non-coding RNA (2770 nucleotides) under Pogonomyrmex barbatus (red harvester ant). RNAcentral's name for it is "uncharacterized LOC105425196". The record is from RNAcentral. Lineage: Eukaryota; Metazoa; Arthropoda; Insecta; Hymenoptera; Formicidae.